GCCCGGAUGGCUCAGUCGGUUAAGCAUCUGACUUCAGCUCAGGUCAUGAUCUCACGGCUCGUGGGUUCAAGCCCCAUGUCAGGCU
RNAcentral lists this transfer RNA (85 nucleotides) under Felis catus (domestic cat). It matches the Rfam family "tRNA". Rfam says of the family: Transfer RNA (tRNA) molecules are approximately 80 nucleotides in length. Their secondary structure includes four short double-helical elements and three loops (D, anti-codon, and T loops). Lineage: Eukaryota; Metazoa; Chordata; Mammalia; Carnivora; Felidae. The record is from Rfam by way of RNAcentral. RNAcentral also lists the same sequence under 3 other names.